This 455-nucleotide ribosomal RNA is filed under the name uncultured Sphingobacteriales bacterium. RNAcentral's name for it is "partial 16S ribosomal RNA". It matches the Rfam family "Bacterial small subunit ribosomal RNA", at positions 925 to 1382 of the family's 1533-position model. Lineage: Bacteria; Pseudomonadati; Bacteroidota; Sphingobacteriia; Sphingobacteriales. The record is from RNAcentral.
ACAAGCGGUGGAGCAUGUGGUUUAAUUCGAUGAUACGCGAGGAACCUUACCUGGGCUCAAAUGUAUGUUGACGUAUUCUGAAAGGGAUACUUCUUCGGACAAUAUACAAGGUGCUGCAUGGUUGUCGUCAGCUCGUGCCGUGAGGUGUCGGGUUAAGUCCCAUAACGAGCGCAACCCCUAUCAUUAGUUGCCAUCAGGUCAAGCUGGGGACUCUAAUGAAACUGCCUACGCAAGUAGUGAGGAAGGUGGGGAUGACGUCAAAUCAGCACGGCCCUUACGUCCAGGGCUACACACGUGCUACAAUGGCCGGUACAGAGCGCAGCGAGGCCGCGAGGCGGAGCGAAUCGCUUAAAGCCGGUCCCAGUACGGAUUGGAGUCUGCAACCCGACUCCAUGAAGUUGGAAUCGCUAGUAAUCGUGAAUCAGAAUGUCACGGUGAAUACGUUCCCGGGCCUU